GUGCUUGAUUCAGCAGCACAUAGAUUAAAAUGGGAAAGAUACAGAUUCGCAUGGCCCCUGUGUAAGGAUGAUAGGCAAAUUUGCAAACUGCUCCCUAUUUUU
Neogale vison (American mink) is the source of this 102-nucleotide small nuclear RNA. NCBI's taxonomy places the organism in Eukaryota, Metazoa, Chordata, Mammalia, Carnivora, Mustelidae. The record is from Ensembl.